Molecule: ribosomal RNA, 696 nt
Filed under: uncultured bacterium
Lineage: Bacteria
Description: bacterial SSU rRNA
Rfam family: Bacterial small subunit ribosomal RNA
Source: RNAcentral
AACGCUAGCUACAGGCUUAACACAUGCAAGUCGAGGGGAAACGACAUCGAAAGCUUGCUUUUGAUGGGCGUCGACCGGCGCACGGGUGAGUAACGCGUAUCCAACCUGCCCACCACUUGGGGAUAACCUUGCGAAAGUAAGACUAAUACCCAAUGACGUCUCUAGAAGACAUCUGAAAGAGAUUAAAGAUUUAUCGGUGAUGGAUGGGGAUGCGUCUGAUUAGCUUGUUGGCGGGGUAACGGCCCACCAAGGCGACGAUCAGUAGGGGUUCUGAGAGGAAGGUCCCCCACAUUGGAACUGAGACACGGUCCAAACUCCUACGGGAGGCAGCAGUGAGGAAUAUUGGUCAAUGGGCGAGAGCCUGAACCAGCCAAGUAGCGUGCAGGAUGACGGCCCUAUGGGUUGUAAACUGCUUUUAUAAGGGAAUAAAGUUAGUCUCGUGAGACUUUUUGCAUGUACCUUAUGAAUAAGGACCGGCUAAUUCCGUGCCAGCAGCCGCGGUAAUACGGAAGGUCCGGGCGUUAUCCGGAUUUAUUGGGUUUAAAGGGAGCGUAGGCCGGAGAUUAAGCGUGUUGUGAAAUGUAGACGCUCAACGUCUGCACUGCAGCGCGAACUGGUUUCCUUGAGUACGCACAAAGUGGGCGGAAUUCGUGGUGUAGCGGUGAAAUGCUUAGAUAUCACGAAGAACUCCGAUUG